Molecule: transfer RNA, 73 nt
Filed under: Fasciola gigantica
Lineage: Eukaryota; Metazoa; Platyhelminthes; Trematoda; Plagiorchiida; Fasciolidae
Rfam family: tRNA
About the family: Transfer RNA (tRNA) molecules are approximately 80 nucleotides in length. Their secondary structure includes four short double-helical elements and three loops (D, anti-codon, and T loops). Further hydrogen bonds mediate the characteristic L-shaped molecular structure. tRNAs have two regions of fundamental functional importance: the anti-codon, which is responsible for specific mRNA codon recognition, and the 3' end, to which the tRNAs corresponding amino acid is attached (by aminoacyl-tRNA synthetases). tRNAs cope with the degeneracy of the genetic code in two manners: having more than one tRNA (with a specific anti-codon) for a particular amino acid; and 'wobble' base-pairing, i.e. permitting non-standard base-pairing at the 3rd anti-codon position.
Source: Rfam by way of RNAcentral
ACCAUGAUAGUUCAGCUGGUAGAACACCUGUUUGGUAGGCAGAAGGCCACCGAUUAGACUACGGUUCGAGGCG